RNAcentral lists this microRNA precursor (157 nucleotides) under Pelobates cultripes (western spadefoot toad). The record is from RNAcentral. Lineage: Eukaryota; Metazoa; Chordata; Amphibia; Anura; Pelobatidae.
GCAGACACAUUCCAGCUAAUCAGCAGCAGACCCUCCCUCCCAGACCCUCCCACCUCCUGGACAGCAUCCAUUUUGAAGCUGCAUUCUUAGUGAGCUGUCCAGGAGGUGGGAGGGUCUGGGAGGGAGGGUCUGCUGCUGAUUGGCUGGAAUGUGUCUG